UACGUAGGGUGCGAGCGUUAAUCGGAAUUACUGGGCGUAAAGCGUGCGCAGGCGGUCUUGCAAGACAGGUGUGAAAUCCCCGGGCUUAACCUGGGAACUGCACUUGUGACUGCAAGGCUGGAGUACGGCAGAGGGGGAUGGAAUUCCGCGUGUAGCAGUGAAAUGCGUAGAUAUGCGGAGGAACACCGAUGGCGAAGGCAAUCCCCUGGGCCUGUACUGACGCUCAUGCACGAAAGCGUGGGGAGCAAACAGG
This 253-nucleotide ribosomal RNA is filed under the name uncultured bacterium. RNAcentral describes it as "partial 16S ribosomal RNA". It matches the Rfam family "Bacterial small subunit ribosomal RNA", at positions 524 to 776 of the family's 1533-position model. RNAcentral also lists the same sequence under 1 other name. The record is from RNAcentral.